RNAcentral lists this ribosomal RNA (512 nucleotides) under uncultured bacterium. Its description in RNAcentral is "partial 16S ribosomal RNA". It matches the Rfam family "Bacterial small subunit ribosomal RNA", at positions 28 to 523 of the family's 1533-position model. The record is from RNAcentral.
GAUGAACGCUGGCGGCAUGCCUAAUACAUGCAAGUCGAACGAGAGGAAGGAAAGCUUGCUUUUCUGAAUCUAGUGGCGAACGGGUGAGUAACACGUAGGUAGCCUGCCCAUGUGCCCGGGAUAACUUCCGGAAACGGAUGCUAAAACCGGAUAGGUAGCAGACAAGCAUUUGACUGCUAUUAAAGUGGCUAAGGCCAUGAACAUGGAUGGACCUGCGGUGCAUUAGCUAGUUGGUGAGGUAACGGCCCACCAAGGCGACGAUGCAUAGCCGGCCUGAGAGGGCGGACGGCCACAUUGGGACUGAGACACGGCCCAAACUCCUACGGGAGGCAGCAGUAGGGAAUUUUCGUCAAUGGGGGGAACCCUGAACGAGCAAUGCCGCGUGAGUGAGGAAGGUCUUCGGAUCGUAAAGCUCUGUUGUAAGAGAAAAACGGCACUCAUAGGGAAUGAUGAGUGAGUGAUGGUAUCUUGCCAGAAAGUCACGGCUAACUACGUGCCAGCCGCCGCCGUAA